RNAcentral lists this microRNA precursor (203 nucleotides) under Oryza sativa Japonica Group (Japanese rice). RNAcentral describes it as "MIR812 microRNA precursor family". It matches the Rfam family "MIR812 microRNA precursor family". Lineage: Eukaryota; Viridiplantae; Streptophyta; Magnoliopsida; Poales; Poaceae. The record is from Rfam by way of RNAcentral.
UUUAAGUGGUAGUUGUAAAUUUCUGUGUUUAACUUUAAUCGGCUAUCUUAUUUAAUUUUUUUUUAUGAUUAGUAUUUUUGUUGUUGCUAGAUAAUAAAACAUAGUAGUACUUUAUAUAUAACUUAUUUCUUAAUUUUUUUUAUAAAAUUUUUAAAUAAAAUAAAUGAUCAAAUGAAUUAUGAAAACUCGUGACUGCAUUUAAA